GGGUGCAGCAGGCGCGAAUCCCUACGGGGUGCAGCAGGCGCGAAAACUUUACAAUGGCGGGAAACCGUGAUAAGGGGACACCGAAGUGCCAGCAUCAUAUGUUGGCUGUCCAGAUGUGUAAAAUACAUCUGUUAGCAAGGGCCGGGCAAGACCGGUGCCAGCCGCCGCGGUAACACCGGCGGCCCGAGUGGUGAUCGUGAUUAUUGGGUCUAAAGGGUCCGUAGCCGGUUUGGUCAGUCCUCCGGGAAAUCUGACGGCUCAACCGUUAGGCUUUCGGUGGAUACUGCCGAGACUUGGAACCGGGAGAGGUAAGAGCGUACUACAGGGGUAGGA
Molecule: ribosomal RNA, 333 nt
Filed under: uncultured methanogenic archaeon
Lineage: Archaea; Methanobacteriati; Methanobacteriota
Description: bacterial SSU rRNA
Rfam family: Archaeal small subunit ribosomal RNA
Source: RNAcentral